AGCUAUGUAAAUAGAAGCUCAGGUAACUAGCACUCAGGUAACUAGCACUCAGGUAACUAGCACUCAGGUAACUAGCACUCAGGUAACUAGCACUCAGGUAACUAGAACUCUAGCACUCAGGUAACUAGCACUCUGGUAACUAGAACUCUAGCACUCAGGUAGGGCUACAGUAGGUCAUUCCAGUGUAUGGUAUUAUAUCUAACUCUGCUAUACAGUGGAUAUUACCACAGCUUUGUACUUUCAUACUUGCUUGGUUUGAAUUCUAAUAAAAGUAUAUUUUUCUAACAAAA
Molecule: non-coding RNA, 290 nt
Organism: Salvelinus sp. IW2-2015
Lineage: Eukaryota; Metazoa; Chordata; Actinopteri; Salmoniformes; Salmonidae
Source: RefSeq, a predicted model, not a curated record